GGGCCAAGGAAAAGAAAUAAUAUGGUAGCAAAGGAAAAGAAGACCUAAAAAUUAUGCUUAAUAGGAUAACACAGAGCC
Molecule: non-coding RNA, 78 nt
Organism: Mustela putorius furo (domestic ferret)
Lineage: Eukaryota; Metazoa; Chordata; Mammalia; Carnivora; Mustelidae
Source: Rfam